UACAGAGACUGCAAGCGUUAUUCGGAUUUACUGGGCGUAAAGGGUGCGCAGGCGGUUAUGUGUGUGAUGUGUGAAAUCCCAAGGCUCAACCUUGGAAUUGCAUUUCAAACUACAUGACUAGAGCAUUGGAGAGGGUAGCAGAAUUCAUGGUGUAGCAGUGAAAUGCGUAGAUAUCAUGAGGAAUACCAGAGGCGAAGGCGGCUACCUAGACAAUUGCUGACGCUCAGGCACGAAAGCGUGGGGAGCAAAAGGGAUUAGAUACCCCUGUAGUCCACGCCCUAAACGGUGCAUACUAGGUUUUGGAGGAUUCGACCCCUUCAGGGCCCAAGCUAACGCGAUAAGUAUGCCGCCUGAGGACUACGGCCGCAAGGCUA
This 374-nucleotide ribosomal RNA is filed under the name uncultured prokaryote. RNAcentral's name for it is "bacterial SSU rRNA". It matches the Rfam family "Bacterial small subunit ribosomal RNA", at positions 524 to 896 of the family's 1533-position model. The record is from RNAcentral.